RNAcentral lists this ribosomal RNA (506 nucleotides) under uncultured bacterium. RNAcentral describes it as "partial 16S ribosomal RNA". It matches the Rfam family "Bacterial small subunit ribosomal RNA", at positions 30 to 523 of the family's 1533-position model. The record is from RNAcentral.
AUUGAGCGCUGGCGACAGGCCUAACACAUGCAAGUCGAACGGUAGCACAGAGGAGCUUGCUCCUUGGGUGACGAGUGGCGGACGGGUGAGUAAUGUCUGGGAAACUGCCCGAUGGAGGGGGAUAACUACUGGAAACGGUAGCUAAUACCGCAUAACGUCGCAAGACCAAAGAGGGGGACCUUCGGGCCUCUUGCCAUCGGAUGUGCCCAGAUGGGAUUAGCUAGUAGGUGGGGUAACGGCUCACCUAGGCGACGAUCCCUAGCUGGGCUGGGAGGAUGGCCAGCCACACUGGAACUGAGACACGGUCCAGACUCCUACGGGAGGCAGCAGUGGGGAAUAUUGCACAAUGGGCGCAAGCCUGAUGCAGCCAUGCCGCGUGUAUGAAGAAGGCCUUCGGGUUGUAAAGUACUUUCAGCGGGGAGGAAGGGGUUAAGGUUAAUAACCUUAGCCAUUGACGUUACCCGCAGAAGAAGCACCGGCUAACUUCGUGCCAGCAGCCGCGGUAA